This 292-nucleotide small nuclear RNA is filed under the name Echinops telfairi (small Madagascar hedgehog). RNAcentral's name for it is "7SK RNA (ENSETEG00000024743.1)". It matches the Rfam family "7SK RNA". From Rfam's summary of the family: 7SK was discovered as an abundant small nuclear RNA in the mid-70s but a possible function has only recently been suggested. Two independent studies have found that 7SK RNA binds the CDK9/cyclin T complex (known as elongation factor P-TEFb). The record is from RNAcentral. Lineage: Eukaryota; Metazoa; Chordata; Mammalia; Afrosoricida; Tenrecidae.
GGAUAGGAGGGUGAAAUAGCUGUGACAUGUCACCCCAUUGAUCACUAAGGUUGAUUCGGAUGAUCUGGCUGGCCAGGCGGGUGUCCCCUUCCUCCCUCAUGGCUCCAUGUGCAUCUCUCCUGAAGCUGUGCCCUCAGUUGAAGAGGAUGACCCUCCCUGAUAGGGCCAUCCUUUGGUCAAGGGUUAGCUGUGCUCCCCUGCUAGAACCUCCAAACAAGCUCUCAAUAUUGAAGUUUGUUUUGUUGUUUAAAAUCCUAGUGACUUUGGACUAUUUUUUGAUAACUGGCACAAG